AGCGUAGAGCAGUCGCCGCGCGGAUACAAAGACGAGGACCGGAGAUAGAAUCGCACGUGGAAGGCGGCAGCCACAGGCUGACAUACGCAUCGAGGUGUACGCGUAGACGACAGUAUCCCAUUGCACCCACGCCCACCCACUGCCCGUGAUGUGGACGGCUGUCGUAGCAUCGGGCGGGGGCAGCAAGGGGAAUCCGCCCACAGCGUUGUCGGCGGCGGUGUGUGAUGGAAAGCCGAUGACCACGGCUGGACCGCAGGCCCCAACGACUAGAGAUGGGCUGUGGCAAUCUUCGCUGCUGCGCCAGCGCGUCGCCGCCGGGGCUAGCUUCAAGAACGUGGCGCUGUCCCACGCCGCAGACAUUCUGCGCUCCGAAUCGGCCCGUGUGGACGCGCAGCUGAUCGACGACUUCAGCUCCAUUUUACGCGGCAACGUCGUGUACAUUCACAACUUCAUCUGCCAUGAGAAGGACAUGCGGCUCUACAACUCCCUCAAGGAGGAGCUGGUCGCGGCGACAGGCGCCAAGAUGCUCGGCAGCGGAGGCUUGAUUGACUGGAGCAAGCAUCAAGUCUUCGAUAACCCCUCCUACAUCAGCCAGACCUUCAACGACAUCAUCGACAUGCUCGCCGAGUACUUCGACGUUGACGUGUACGCGACGCGGCUGAACUACUACCGGGACGGAACUCAGUGGAAGCCUCAGCACCACGACAGCCACGCCUACGGCGGCCGCGCGCUUCGCGAGGACUUCACAGUGGGCCUGUCGCUCGGCGCAACGCGCAGCCUUCUCUUUGUGCACGAGGCUUCGCAGCGCGACUUCAAUUUUCCGCAGGUGAACGGUGACUGCUUCGCCUUCACGGGGGAGGUCAACAACCUGUUCACCCACGGCGUGCCCCGCGUGCACACGCCAACAGGUGAUCGCUUCAGCAUUAUCGCCUGGGGGCGGCGUCGCACGUUGAAUGAGCGCAACGGUGGCGUGCCGAGUAGCGCGGUGGCGCAGGUGAAGGGGCACCACAUCAACACCAUGGAAGACGCGGUCGAGGUUGCGAAGCAGCUCGUGGCGGCGCAGCCUGGCGCUGCGGUAGCGAAGAAGGCGAUGCCACCGCCGUGCACCUCGGGCGACGCGAGCAGCAAUGGGGUUGCCCCAGCCACACGACCGGCGAAGCGUCACAAACGCCGCCUCCAGUAGCCAUCGUUUGCAGGGCGGAUAGUGAAGCGGCUUGCAAGGUUCUCUGUGCUGCUCUCUGUGCCCCCCCCUCCCGCAACGCACGUUGGACGCGCAAGCGCACACACACAGACACACACACACACACACACACACACACGCACACGCUAUGACGACGUGGCGGAGACACGCCUCCCCCUGCGCAGCGCCUCAGCGUCCAGCGCCUACGACGUGGGAGGGAGGGGGGAGCGCAGAGCGGUGUGGCGCUACGCAUGUCGGCCAUCAGAUCCUGGAUGGCGUUGCGUCGGAGUCACCCGCGGCCGCGGACACGUUUGUGGCACCCGUAUGACAGGCGAAGCGUCCGCGUGCCUCGAACCUGUCCCACCCACGCCCCGGCCUUCACAGCGCCCGCUGCUGGUGUGGCGGGGAGCCUGAGAGCCGCCCCUCCCCCCCCCCCCCCCCCCCCCCGAGUGGGGAUGCGCCAAGGCGGCGGACCUGCGAGGCGGCGGUGCGGGCAGAGGUUGAGGCAGGGGCCGUGCGCCGAUGGCUGCGUCGGCGCAUUGCUGUGCCGCGUGUGUCUACGGCCGGGCGUCGAGUGGCGCGGCGUUGAGCUCGUCGUGUAUGGCUGAGAGAUGGGCCACACGUUGGAAGCAACACGACAAAAGCACAGCGGCGCGUGGAGGGUGAGCUAAGGGAGGGAACGCCGCCGUAGGAGCGUACUGGUGGGCGGCAGAGCGAAGGAGUCAUGUGCGGGCUUCUGCGAGUUACGCACCACCGCCUCCUUCCAGGGCAAACAACUGCAGCUCGAGAGAGCGACGGAAGGCGGGUGGCCGAGUCCGGCAUGGCAGGAGUUGGAGCCGCGUCACAGCAGGAAAGGGAGGUCUCAAGGUCACGUAAUAUAUCG
This 2063-nucleotide unclassified non-coding RNA is filed under the name Leishmania donovani. RNAcentral describes it as "gene:LdHU3.06.1250(CDS-product:2OG-Fe(II)_oxygena se_superfamily_putative)". The record is from RNAcentral. Lineage: Eukaryota; Euglenozoa; Kinetoplastea; Trypanosomatida; Trypanosomatidae.